UGAGGAAUAUUGGUCAAUGGACGCAAGUCUGAACCAGCCAUGCCGCGUGAAGGAUGAAGGCCUUCUGGGUUGUAAACUUCUUUUAUCUGGGAAGAAACCCCUGAUUUCUAUUAGGGCCGACGGUACCAGAGGAAUAAGCACCGGCUAACUCCGUGCCAGCAGCCGCGGUAAUACGGAGGGUGCAAGCGUUAUCCGGAUUCACUGGGUUUAAAGGGUGUGUAGGCGGGCGUUUAAGUCAGUGGUGAAAUCUCCGAGCUUAACUUGGAAACUGCCAUUGAUACUAUUCGUCUUGAAUUCUGUUGAGGUGGGCGGAAUAUGUCAUGUAGCGGUGAAAUGCAUAGAUAUGACAUAGAACACCGAUUGCGAAGGCAGCUCACUAAGCAGACAUUGACGCUGAGGCACGAAAGCGUGGGGAUCAAACA
This 422-nucleotide ribosomal RNA is filed under the name uncultured Edaphobaculum sp. RNAcentral describes it as "bacterial SSU rRNA". It matches the Rfam family "Bacterial small subunit ribosomal RNA", at positions 355 to 774 of the family's 1533-position model. The record is from RNAcentral. Lineage: Bacteria; Pseudomonadati; Bacteroidota; Chitinophagia; Chitinophagales; Chitinophagaceae.